Molecule: microRNA precursor, 116 nt
Filed under: Hordeum vulgare
Lineage: Eukaryota; Viridiplantae; Streptophyta; Magnoliopsida; Poales; Poaceae
Description: microRNA MIR1122
Rfam family: MIR1120/MIR1122 microRNA precursor family
Source: RNAcentral
UUAAUACUCCCUCCAUCCCAAAAUAGGUGACUCAAAAAUCAUCCAACUUUGUACUAAAGUUAGUGCAAAGUUGGGUCACUUUUGAGUCACUUAUUUUGGGACGGAGGGAGUAUAUU